GACGAACGCUGGCGGCGUGCUUAACACAUGCAAGUCGAACGGAAAGGCCCUGCUUUUGUGGGGUGCUCGAGUGGCGAACGGGUGAGUAACACGUGAGUAACCUGCCCUUGACUUUGGGAUAACUUCAGGAAACUGGGGCUAAUACCGGAUAGGAGCUCCUGCUGCAUGGUGGGGGUUGGAAAGUUUCGGCGGUUGGGUAUGGACUCGCGCCUUAUCAUCUUGUUGGUGGGGUAGUGGCUUACCAAGUCUUUGACGGGUAGCCGGCCUGAGAGGGUGACCGGCCACAUUGGGACUGAGAUACGGCACAGACUCCUACGGGAGGCAGCAGUGGGGAGUAUUGCACAAUGGGCGGAAGCCUGAUGCAGCAACGCCGCGUGCGGGAUGACGGCCUUCGGGUUGUAAAAAGCUUUAGCCUGUGACGAAGCGUGAGUGACGGUAAUGGGUAAAGAAGCACCGGCUAACUACGUG
RNAcentral lists this ribosomal RNA (468 nucleotides) under uncultured bacterium. Its description in RNAcentral is "partial 16S ribosomal RNA". It matches the Rfam family "Bacterial small subunit ribosomal RNA", at positions 28 to 507 of the family's 1533-position model. The record is from RNAcentral.